AUGGAUGACCCGCGUCGUCGGGUGCGAGGCGAUCCAGCGCCGCCGUAUGGAGAUUUUGAUGGUCUGUUCAGUGUUGAGAUGCACCAUAGUGGUUUCUUUUGUGGCAGUGACAUAAACAGAACAUGCAUGGACUAUGAGGUUGAUUGGUUUGACAAUUGUCAGACUGACACUUGGUCCUUACUCUGGAUUGAUGACUUUCUUCUGCAGCUGGGCUAUGAUAGACAAGCUUCAAAGAUUGAUGUUUACUGGUGUGAACCAAGAAAGACAGUUAGUGAUGGCCUGAAACUCUUGACCUGUGAUGCUGACAUUGUUCUUAUGAUUUGUGCAACAUUAGAGCACAAGAACCUGCUGCUGAUAGUAGACCAUGGUGAUACCCUGCAGUCACUAAACAAAGAUAAUGUUCUGACAAAUGGAGUGAAGGAUCCACCUAAGGUUAUUACUCCAAAGAGGCAUGGAAAAGAAAAUGUCAGUUAUCCAGAGAAAGAGCAGAGUCCUAGAGAGAAAAUGUCAAGGACAACAAGGAGAUCUAUGUCAUUUGGAGAAGGAUGUAGCUCAAGGAAUGCUAUGGAGGAGGAGAAUAUUGAGGAUGUUAACAAUAGUGAAGAAGAGGGAAAUGAUGAGGAUGCAGGGUCAGAAACAGAUGAGGAGUUCUAUGAGAGUGACUAUGAAGUUGCAGAAGGUGAUGAUGAUUUGUUUGACGCAAAUGUAGACAAAGAUGUUGAUGAUCACAGAGAGAAGAAAAUACUGCCAGACUUUGAAGAAGAACUUCCAGAAGAUGCUUUGGAGGACAGCCACUUAAAUAUGUCGAAAGAAGAGAAAGAGAAGCUGAAGCACAAAUUCAGUACUUUCAACCCAACAACUGAUCUGAAUGCACAUGUGUUUAAGAUUGGGUUGGUGUUUGCAGAUAUGAAGGAAUUGAGGCAUGCUCUCACUGCAUACAGUGUAAGGAAUAGGGUGAAAGUGAACAAGCUCCGAAAUACUUCGGUAUCACUAGAGGCUGUAUGCAAGCCUGGUUGCACUUGGUACUUGAAGGCAGGUAAAGAUAACAGGUCAAGUAGCAUACAGAUCAAGAAGUAUGUUGACAAUCACACUUGCACAAAAGCAUGGGACCUGAGAGUUCUGACUGCUCCUUUUCUUACUAACAAGUUCAGAGAAGAAUUCAGAGACAAUGAAAAAAUGCCUCUGAAGAAAUUUUCAGAUAAGGUGGAGACAGAAUAUAAUUUGGUUCCACACAGGAGUAAGUUGGGAAGAGCUAGGAGAGCAGCAGUGAAUCAAAUAAGGGGAGUAGAUGAUGACCAAUAUAAUACUUUGUGGGACUAUGGUCAGGAGCUUAGAAGGAGCAAUCCAGGAAGCCAGUUCUUCUUGUGCACUAAGGAAGUAUUUGAUGAGAAGACAAAGAAGGUACAAGACCACUUUUCCACAUUGUACUGGUCAUAUGAUGCAUGCAAGAGGGGAUUCCUUAAGGGAUGUAGACCAAUCACUUUCCUGGAUGGUUGUCACAUUAAAACGAGAUACAAGGGAAGAUUACUAACAGCCGUUGGAAUCGAUCCCAAUGAUUGUAUCUUUCCAGUAGCAUUUGGGUUAUGUGAAGUGGAGUCAACCCAUAGCUGGGAGUGGUUCUUAGCAUCCUUAAAGGAUGACCUGAACAUAAUGAACACCUCACCAUACACCAUUAUGAGUGACAAGCAGAAGGGAUUAAUAAAUGCAGUGAAAAAGGUUUUCCCUCAUUCAGAACAUAGAAACUGUGUUAGGCACAUUUAUCAAAAUUUCCAUAAAGUACACAAGGGAGAGCAGCUCAAGAAUGAUCUAUGGUCUAUAGCAAGGUCCACUAAUGAAGCUGCAUACACCAGGAACAUGGAUCUAAUGAAAGAACACAGCUUGGGUGCCUACACCUGGGUUGAGAAAUUGGAGCCAAGAACAUGGAUCAAAGCAUUCUUUGACCCGUUUUGCAAGUAUGACAUAUUACUAAACAAUAUGUCAGAAGUGUUCAAUAGUUACAUUUUGGAUGCGAGGGAAAUGCCAAUUAAGUCAAUGUUGGACCAGAUAAUGUGGAAGCUAACAAACAGGAUUGUUGGUAAGCAGAGAGAGGCAGAGAAAUGGACAGGCAGAUUAUGUCCCAAGAUACAGAAGAAAUUGGACAAGUAUGUGGAGUGGGCAAAGAACUGCAGGGUGCAAGAGUAUGGGCAAGGUGUUUUCAAGGUUUUCUCUUUGAACAACACAUACAUUGUUGACCUGAACAUGCUUUCUUGUGAAUGCAAAAGGUGGGUACUAUCUGGCAUACCUUGCCAUCAUGCAAUUGCAUGUUUUAGGCAUGAGAGAAUUGAGCCAGAGAGCAUGGUCCAUUCAUGCUACACUAUUGAGGAAUAUAAGAAGUGUUAUGGAUUUAAUAUGAUGCCAAUGAGGGACCCACAGCAAUGGGAAAAAAUGCAUGGCAUUGCUGUUCACCCACCCCUGUACACAAAAGUAAUGGGCAGGCCUAAGAAGAACAGGAAAAAAGAUCCAGAAGAGAAGAAAGACAAGACUGGGGUGAAAAAAUUGAGCAAACAUGGUGUGACCAUGCAUUGUUCUAUUUGUGGAGCUGCUGACCAUAAUAAGAAGGGCCACCACAAUCAUGUUAAUCAAACAACAACUGAGGAAACAACAAUUGAAGAAGAAUAUGACGACCCAAGCAUAAUUGCUAACAUCAUGCCACACAGAGUCUACCCUCAGCUCGAUCCAACACAAACCCCUGACUCAAUGGUUUACAAGAUGCAAGAAAUGGAGAAGUUUACAUAUCCAGCACCUAGGGAAUUUGCCCCCCUACCCGAGUCUAGCUUCAUUGCCAAUGCCAGAGACUCAAUUCCUAUGGUUAGAGUUACAACAGCCAUGUCAAGAGGCAGGGUGAGAAAGACUGCUAAUGAGAAAGUUGCAAGGCCAAGAAAAAAGCAGGCAAGGGAAGGCAAGGGAAGGCCAAGAAAAUAG
This 2961-nucleotide ribosomal RNA is filed under the name Triticum aestivum (bread wheat). RNAcentral describes it as "partial small subunit ribosomal RNA". The record is from RNAcentral. Lineage: Eukaryota; Viridiplantae; Streptophyta; Magnoliopsida; Poales; Poaceae.